Molecule: ribosomal RNA, 668 nt
Filed under: alpha proteobacterium J487
Lineage: Bacteria; Pseudomonadati; Pseudomonadota; Alphaproteobacteria
Description: bacterial SSU rRNA
Rfam family: Bacterial small subunit ribosomal RNA
Source: RNAcentral
UAACACAUGCAAGUCGAGCGCGCCCUUCGGGGUGAGCGGCGGACGGGUUAGUAACGCGUGGGAAUAUGCCCAAAGGUACGGAAUAGCCUCUGGAAACGGAGAGUAAUACCGUAUGUGCCCUUCGGGGGAAAGAUUUAUCGCCUUUGGAUUAGCCCGCGUUAGAUUAGGUAGUUGGUGGGGUAAUGGCCUACCAAGCCUACGAUCUAUAGCUGGUUUUAGAGGAUGAUCAGCAACACUGGGACUGAGACACGGCCCAGACUCCUACGGGAGGCAGCAGUGGGGAAUCUUGGACAAUGGGCGCAAGCCUGAUCCAGCCAUGCCGCGUGAGUGAUGAAGGCCUUAGGGUCGUAAAGCUCUUUCGCCAGGGAUGAUAAUGACAGUACCUGGUAAAGAAACCCCGGCUAACUCCGUGCCAGCAGCCGCGGUAAUACGGAGGGGGUUAGCGUUGUUCGGAAUUACUGGGCGUAAAGCGCGCGUAGGCGGAUCGGAAAGUUGGGGGUGAAAUCCCGGGGCUCAACCCCGGAACUGCCUCCAAAACUAUCGGUCUAGAGUUCGAGAGAGGUGAGUGGAAUUCCGAGUGUAGAGGUGAAAUUCGUAGAUAUUCGGAGGAACACCAGUGGCGAAGGCGGCUCACUGGCUCGAUACUGACGCUGAGGUGCGAAAGUGUG